Molecule: ribosomal RNA, 497 nt
Filed under: uncultured bacterium
Lineage: Bacteria
Description: partial 16S ribosomal RNA
Rfam family: Bacterial small subunit ribosomal RNA
Source: RNAcentral
GAUGAACGCUGGCGGCGUGCCUAAUACAUGCAAGUCGAGCGAACGGACGAGAAGCUUGCUUCUAUGAUGUUAUCGGCGGACGGGUGAGUAACACGUGGAUAACCUACCUAUAAGACUGGGAUAACUUCGGGAAACCGGAGCUAAUACCGGAUAAUAUUUUGAACCGCAUGGUUCAAAAGUGAAAGACGGUCUUGCUGUCACUUAUAGAUGGAUCCGCGCUGCAUUAGCUAGUUGGUAAGGUAACGGCUUACCAAGGCAACGAUGCAUAGCCGACCUGAGAGGGUGAUCGGCCACACUGGAACUGAGACACGGUCCAGACUCCUACGGGAGGCAGCAGUAGGGAAUCUUCCGCAAUGGGCGAAAGCCUGACGGAGCAACGCCGCGUGAGUGAUGAAGGUCUUCGGAUCGUAAAACUCUGUUAUUAGGGAAGAACAUAUGUGUAAGUAACUGUGCACAUCUUGACGGUACCUAAUCAGAAAGCCACGGCUAACUACGUG